UUUCCUUCCAUUUCUUCUUCAGCUGCGGCGUAAUCAAAAAGUUGUUAUUACAUAUACAAUGACAUCUGCAUAUACAAAGAAACAUCUUACCCAUUACUGCUGAUGCUAUGGUGACUGCGACUGUGAGAGAUGGCGACAAGUGCGGGUAGCCGGAGAGGUGGAACAAAGGCUUUUGGUGGGCCUGCAGAUAAGGGGACCAUAUAACAGUGCCAAACUUACCUAAAUAUUACCAUUUACAAUUUACGNN
This 247-nucleotide long non-coding RNA is filed under the name Solanum tuberosum (potato). Its description in RNAcentral is "long non-coding RNA (STUB_LNC001103)". The record is from RNAcentral. Lineage: Eukaryota; Viridiplantae; Streptophyta; Magnoliopsida; Solanales; Solanaceae.